UGUGAGCCGCUGUGCCCAGGCCAAUCCCAGAGAUUUUGAAGAUGAUUUCUCGAUACGAGUUUCACGAAGACUUGAAAAGAAUGUGUCCUCUGUUGUUGGAUGGAGUGUCCUUGAAAUGUUCAUUAGCCUUCUAGCUCCAUUCAGAAGAGCCUCCGAAGUAGAGACCAGAAAUCCUUCUAGUGGGCUGUGCUUUGAGCAGUACUGCUUGUUGACUGCUUUACUUGGAAGGAGAGAUCGACUGAGCCUGGCAGUGUUGCCCAGGAGGAGGCAGUGGAGUUAAGAAGCCUGGGUCUGAGCUCCUCAGCUGUGCAGACAACUCCUACUUGUUCUUCAACGCUCAACUUUAAGUUCAGUCACCACCUGCAGAAGUCUUCUCCAAAACCUCCCCACCUGGCUGACUAAGGGGCUGGCUUUAUGCUCUUGCAGUACUCAUGCUUCCUACUGUCACAGUUCUGACCACACCGUGGGAAAACGUCUCUAACUAGAGACCUGUCUUGCCUCUUGUGCCUGUAGUACGGGAUGGGUGCCCAGUGUGUGUUGAUUGUAUGAAUCAAUCUCUGUGACUCCAGAGUUCCUUUCUUCAGGAGAUUAGACAUCACCCCUGCAAUCAACAAUGCAAGCCACUGCUGUUUCCUCCAUCCUGAGCAUGAGGAACCUAUCCAGUUUCUCUCUCAGAUGCCAGGGCCAUGAGGCAAGUCCAGCCUUGGCCUAGAACCAAAGAUGGAAACAAAAAGGGGCCAGACUGUGUUGCCUUCUUGAGCCUGGUCUGACUCCUGAGUGGAAGUCUGAUUCCAGGUACAUGAGAUAAGCACUAAUACCUCCAGUUUGCAGAUUAAGAGACUGAGGUCCUGAAGAGGUUAAAGAACUUGGCUCAAGUCACAUAGCUGGUGAGCAGCAAGAUACAAGAAUCAACCCAAGUCCAGGGGGCUGUGUGCCGUUUACACUUCACAUCUGUGCUGCCAGGGCUGUAGCUAUAAAAGCUUGAAAACCAUUACUCUGAGAAUCUCUCUGUUGGGAAAAUGAGUCCCUUCAACUCUAGUUGUUGCCACUGGGAUGCUAACAGAAAGCAAAGUCUCAGAGGAAAGAUGUGGCAUUCCUGAGUGUCUUCCAUGUACCAGGACUUCUAUUUGCUAGCCACUUUAUGUUCCUCAUCCCAUCCUUCUGUGAGGGACAUACUUUUCAGAUGAGAAACGUAAGCUCCGCGAAGCUAAGGGGCCGGACUGAGGUCCCACAGCGAGAGUGUGGAGGAGCCAGGAUCCGAACCCCAUCGCCAGCCCUUGCCAGUUCCAUGAUUCCGGUGCCAGCGCUCGCCUGACCUCCAGGGCUGUCAUGGUGGGAAGGGACUGGAGGGCAUCUGCUGGGCAAAGGAAAGAGACAAACAUCAUCCCAGAGCCUGUCUUCCCUGGGCAAUACCCGGGCCACUCCAGACAUGGCGUCUUUAGCCCUUCCUUGGUCACUGGCCCCCAGGUGAAGAGAGCAUUUUUCUCUGACUCAAGUUCUUGCCUCUGGAUUUGCCAAGCUCCUAUGACAGUCUUCGCCCUUCUGAAGCUCUCUCAGGCUCCCCUUCCAGAAAUCCCGCAGGUUCCACCGACCUCUCUGAGAGCACAGGCGAGUGGUUGAACGGUGGGCUUUAGAGACGGCGCGGCACCAGAGUCCUGUACUGGCUGUGUGAUCCUGAACCUCCUCACUGAGAUUCUCAUCUGCAAGAUGGAGA
Molecule: long non-coding RNA, 1714 nt
Filed under: Homo sapiens (human)
Lineage: Eukaryota; Metazoa; Chordata; Mammalia; Primates; Hominidae
Description: HSALNT0297595
Source: RNAcentral